RNAcentral lists this ribosomal RNA (370 nucleotides) under uncultured bacterium. Its description in RNAcentral is "bacterial SSU rRNA". It matches the Rfam family "Bacterial small subunit ribosomal RNA", at positions 8 to 350 of the family's 1533-position model. The record is from RNAcentral.
AGAGUUUGAUCAUGGCUCAGGACGAACGCUGGCGGCGUGCCUAACACAUGCAAGUCGAGCGGAGACAUGUUGACGGAAGGCUUCGGCUGGAAGACGAUAUGUUUUAGCGGCGGACGGGUGAGUAACGCGUGAGCAACCUUUCCUUCACAGGGGGAUAAGAUACCGAAAGGUGUUCUAAUACCGCAUGAGACCACAGAGCCACAUGGCUCAGGGGUCAAAGGAGCAAUCCGGUGAAGGGUGGGCUCGCGUCCGAUUAGCUAGUUGGUGAGGUGACGGCCCACCAAGGCGACGAUCGGUAGCCGACCUGGAGAGGGUGAUCCGGCCACAGUUGGAACUGGAGAGACCGGUCCAAACGUCCGUACGGGAGGCA